UAUAUUUAAAAAAAAUAUUCGGAAAUAAUCCAUUUGAAAACGGUAAAUCCAAAAUAUAUUCACCCACUGCUUUUCAUGGUCUAAUUCCGCUUCGGCCUCUCCUCUUCAUCUUCAUCAUUUUCAUCUUUCGUCUCAUCUUCAUCUUCUUUCAUUUCAUCAUCAUCUUCUUUUACUCCAUCUUCAUUUCCUUUCAACCCAAUCUUCAGAUUCAGGUGCAGGUUGGCCUCCAAAACAUGUUCUCAUAAAGCACGGUGGGGGCGGAGGUGAUGAUCACUCCCUCUCUCUUAGUCAGAUUCUCCAAACCCUGGCCUCACACAACACCUUCAUGACCACGAGACUACCCAAAUCCCAGUCUCGCACAGUGCCUCCAUGGCCAAAGUUGAAGAUGGAGGGAGGUGCAGUGAUACACGCACAGCAUGGUGGAAGGGGAAGGAAUUAUGGUGAGGGAUAUGAUUUAGGGUUUUUAAUAUAAAUUUAAUGGAUAAUUUAGGAAUAUCAGGUUUUACGGGGUACAUGGAAGAAAAAAGGGAGGUGCAGAGCGAUUGCUGCCUUUGCAUAGUCGUUGUUCUAAUUGGGCUUCGGCGGUUAGAAUGUCGGAACAAAAAAGGGCACCUCUAACUUUCUUCCUUCACCUUCAAUCUUUUUUACAAAGAGUUAUUUAAGGUGAUCUAGUUCAGAAGUAUGUUGGCGAGGGGACAAGGAUGGUUCGUGAACUAUUUCAGGGAAAAUUUGCACCAGACCUCCUAGAUUUUGGUAAUUCUUUCCAUGAUUCUCUCUUGUAGAUUGCUCGUUCAAAGAAGGCGUGCAUUGUGUUUUUUGAUGGUGUUGGUGAUGAUAACGAGGUUCAACGCACUACGCUUGAAAUUGUGAAUCAGCUUGAUGGAUUUGCUGCUCGUGGAAACAUCAAAGUUUUGAUGGCAACAAACAGGUUGGUUCUUUUAUUAGUAGAGCAUCUCAGGAUUAUUGUGUCACUUUUGUCAUAAUCAUGAUGCAUUCCAAUGACAUGCAUACAAUCUUGAGAACAUUGUAUUCAAAUCAAUUAAUAUAUUCAACUUUUAAUGAAAUA
This is an RNA transcript of Vigna radiata var. radiata (mung bean), 1066 nucleotides long. RefSeq lists it as uncharacterized. The transcript has 2 exons. NCBI's taxonomy places the organism in Eukaryota, Viridiplantae, Streptophyta, Magnoliopsida, Fabales, Fabaceae. The record is from RefSeq and is a predicted model, not a curated record.